UUGAAGAAUUUGAAGACUUCAACUUGCAGACUUGAAGAAUUUGAAGACUUCAACUUGCAGACUUGAAGAAUUUGAAGACUUCAACU
RNAcentral lists this microRNA precursor (86 nucleotides) under Solanum tuberosum (potato). RNAcentral's name for it is "MIR8024 microRNA precursor family". It matches the Rfam family "MIR8024 microRNA precursor family". Lineage: Eukaryota; Viridiplantae; Streptophyta; Magnoliopsida; Solanales; Solanaceae. The record is from Rfam by way of RNAcentral.